UUGACGACUGAAUGAGAAUUGUUAUUAUUAGCACCACUGGUCGCGAGAUCAGUUGGUAAGCUGGAAGACCAGGCAGUCGGACUUUCAGGUUAUCUCCUCAUCAGGCUAAUCACGGUUUUGACCCGGCUCUUGCCGGGUCUUUUUUUG
Molecule: small RNA, 147 nt
Rfam family: PrrF RNA
About the family: PrrF RNA is a small RNA involved in iron homeostasis and is found exclusively in Pseudomonas species. Their expression is induced under iron limitation by the ferric uptake regulator (Fur) and they act to negatively regulate several genes including sodB and sdh.
Source: Rfam